CGACCGGCGCACGGGUGCGUAACGCGUAUGCAACCUACCUUUAACAGGGGAUAACACUGAGAAAUUGGUACUAAUACCCCAUAAUAUCAUAGAAGGCAUCUUUUAUGGUUGAAAAUUCCGAUGGUUAGAGAUGGGCAUGCGUUGUAUUAGCUAGUUGGUGGGGUAACGGCUCACCAAGGCGACGAUACAUAGGGGGACUGAGAGGUUAACCCCCCACACUGGACUGAGACACGGCCCAG
Molecule: ribosomal RNA, 239 nt
Filed under: uncultured bacterium
Lineage: Bacteria
Description: partial 16S ribosomal RNA
Rfam family: Bacterial small subunit ribosomal RNA
Source: RNAcentral